This 434-nucleotide ribosomal RNA is filed under the name uncultured Oscillospiraceae bacterium. RNAcentral describes it as "partial 16S ribosomal RNA". It matches the Rfam family "Bacterial small subunit ribosomal RNA", at positions 341 to 792 of the family's 1533-position model. The record is from RNAcentral. Lineage: Bacteria; Bacillati; Bacillota; Clostridia; Eubacteriales; Oscillospiraceae.
ACGGGAGGCAGCAGUGGGGGAUAUUGCACAAUGGGCGCAAGCCUGAUGCAGCAACGCCGCGUGAGGGAAGACGGUUUUCGGAUUGUAAACCUCUGUUUUUGGUGAAGAUAAUGACGGUAGCCAAGGAGGAAGCCACGGCUAACUACGUGCCAGCAGCCGCGGUAAUACGUAGGUGGCAAGCGUUGUCCGGAAUUACUGGGUGUAAAGGGAGCGCAGGCGGGACGGCAAGUUGGAUGUGAAAUACCGCAGCUUAACUGCGGAGCUGCAUCCAAAACUGUCGUUCUUGAGUGGAGUAGAGGCAGGCGGAAUUCCGAGUGUAGCGGUGAAAUGCGUAGAUAUUCGGAGGAACACCAGUGGCGAAGGCGGCCUGCUGGGCUCUAACUGACGCUGAGGCUCGAAAGUGUGGGGAGCAAACAGGAUUAGAUACCCUGGUA